Nerophis lumbriciformis (worm pipefish) is the source of this 634-nucleotide long non-coding RNA. RefSeq lists it as uncharacterized. The record is from RefSeq and is a predicted model, not a curated record. NCBI's taxonomy places the organism in Eukaryota, Metazoa, Chordata, Actinopteri, Syngnathiformes, Syngnathidae.
ACAACAUCUACUUGGAGACUGUGGUGAACCAUUAAGUAAUAAUGUUAAGGAGAGGGAAAUCACACUUCAACGACUGGCUUUGACGGGUCCAGGGCAAAGUGAAGUUCUCUCCCUCCAGCUCCUUGUAAAUGGUGGAGGAGAUGCGGGCCACUUGUUCUGCACUAAAAUGUUUUUUCCAGUCCCCGGCAACACCUUAUACACAGAAAACAACAACUAUUGAAUUUGUCAAUAAACUCGUCCAAAGUUCCAGGGUCCUCAAGGAAAGUCGCCAUCUGAUGGAAGUAAUAUGACGACACAAUGAUAUCCUUGGGGUUCCUCAUGACGUAGAUCACCUGAAGGAGGGAUAAGUAAGUGCAAAGCAGGACCACGUGACAAAAACCGAUGGCGUUGGGAUUUGAAUUCACCUUGGCACUGGAAGUUUUGAAGGAAGGUGGCAUGAACUGCCAGGGAACUCUGUCCCAGUUGGGGACGGUUAGGAUGGGUGUCAGGUCCCCCUCAUUCAGCACCAGCGGGAGGAUCUCUUGCAUCCAGAUUGUACCUGCAGAGGAAAGCAAAUUAUAAAGUUAGAUGGCAUAAUAACGGCACCGACAAGAAUUAUGUUUAUUUCUGCACAACCCACAUUCACUACCGUAUU